Long non-coding RNA from Protobothrops mucrosquamatus (brown spotted pit viper), 252 nucleotides. RefSeq lists it as uncharacterized. Lineage: Eukaryota; Metazoa; Chordata; Lepidosauria; Squamata; Viperidae. The record is from RefSeq and is a predicted model, not a curated record. The transcript is spliced from 3 exons.
CUUUCACCACCUCUACCUUGAUUCAGACGGGGGAAUCCAGUGGAAGCGCUUGCAGGAAAUUACAGAACAAGAUGGAGAAUCUACAAAACCUUGUGGAAACAAUGCAGUUAAAAAACCAAGCAAUGUCCAGCAUGAUCAGAUGCCAGGAAAAGAAAAUAGAGCAAGCCAAGGAAAAAGAGAAGAAACUCUCCAAAUGAAUAUAUAGGCACGUGGUUUUUUUUUUAAUUCCCCCAAAGAGGCAUCCAGAUUGCC